GCUGCCUGACUCACUGUCGCUGUCCUCCACGGGGUCCUUCAGGUGGUCAUCGGCACUGCAGGAGUCCACGUCCUCCUCAGAUGACGUCUGGUCGUUUGGCGACGGCGGGUAAUUCUGCGUGGAAGGAAACGUUCAUCGUUCACAUCGAGGGCAACUGGGCGUCUACCUGUUGUUGAUGUUGUUCUGGAGAAGUUUGGAGGAUCUGAAUUCGUCAAUCUCUCCGAUGACGGUCACGCUCACGUCUCCGUCUCGACCCAGCAGCCACUUCACCCGUUUCCUGGAGUCUAGUGAGGAAAAAUUAAAAAAGAAGAAAAAAAA
Cynoglossus semilaevis (tongue sole) is the source of this 318-nucleotide long non-coding RNA. RefSeq lists it as uncharacterized. The record is from RefSeq and is a predicted model, not a curated record. The transcript has 2 exons. NCBI's taxonomy places the organism in Eukaryota, Metazoa, Chordata, Actinopteri, Pleuronectiformes, Cynoglossidae.